This is a long non-coding RNA of Nylanderia fulva, 707 nucleotides long. RefSeq lists it as uncharacterized. NCBI's taxonomy places the organism in Eukaryota, Metazoa, Arthropoda, Insecta, Hymenoptera, Formicidae. The record is from RefSeq and is a predicted model, not a curated record.
UAUGCUUUCUAAAUGUAUUUGCAUAUUCCGCGGUUCCAAGCCGAACAUUCUCUAUUAUUUUUGCUGCCGACGGGUGACGGGCGACCGCAUGGGCGACGGGCGAGGAGAACGAAAGCGUAACUUUGAUUAAAUUAGGAAGCAAAGUUUAAAUAUGAAGAACAAACAAGUUGCUGUACAUAUUGAGAAUGUCACACAUGGAAAGUCCUUGUGGUCCAAUCUUAGCGAUUUUAUUCAAGUUUUUCUUCAUUUCGAAUAAUUGAGUUCAGACAGCGAAGAGUUCAGAGAAAAUUUCCGCGAAAUGAAGAAGCAGAUGAAAUAACUGCAGAUUUAAUACCUGAAUUUCCACUGACAUCCGUAGAGGAAUAUCUCCAAUUUAACGACGUAUUGAAGAACGAUGAAGCACUUCGUAAAUGUUUUAUGGAGAUCCACUCUCCUGUUUAAAUAGAUGGAGGUCCACUCUCGGUGUGCGAGGGAGAGAGCACGACUUUCGGACUAUCUCUGUCCUUUAGUUCGUGCUUCAGCUGACUCCUAAGAACGCGCAAUCUAUUAUAUAUAUCUAUGUCGUAUAUACAUAGCCACUGACGAGGUACUGUUAAAGACCGUCGGCCCUGGGUAAAUUUCUGUCUCUACCAAGUGGACCCGGUGAGCCCGGCAUCGGUCAAUAAUCAUAACAAUAAAAUUAAUAAGAACAUUUUACAAAUAAUAAU